UACGGAGGGUGCAAGCGUUGUUCGGAUUUAUUGGGCGUAAAGCGCGUGUAGGCGGUUUGUUAAGUCUGAUGUGAAAGCCCCGGGCUCAACCUGGGAAGUGCGUUGGAAACUGGCAGACUUGAAUACGGGAGAGGGUAGUGGAAUUCCUAGUGUAGGAGUGAAAUCCGUAGAUAUUAGGAGGAACACCGGUGGCGAAGGCGGCUACCGGGACCGAUAGUGACGCUGAGACGCGAAAGCGUGGGGAGCAAACAGG
This 253-nucleotide ribosomal RNA is filed under the name uncultured bacterium. Its description in RNAcentral is "partial 16S ribosomal RNA". It matches the Rfam family "Bacterial small subunit ribosomal RNA", at positions 524 to 776 of the family's 1533-position model. The record is from RNAcentral.